UGGGGAAUAUUGGACAAUGGGCGCAAGCCUGAUCCAGCCAUGCCGCGUGAGUGAUGAAGGCCCUAGGGUUGUAAAGCUCUUUCACCGGUGAAGAUAAUGACGGUAACCGGAGAAGAAGCCCCGGCUAACUUCGUGCCAGCAGCCGCGGUAACACGAAGGGGGCUAGCGUUGUUCGGAUUUACUGGGCGUAAAGCGCACGUAGGCGGACUUUUAAGUCAGGGGUGAAAUCCCGGGGCUCAACCCCGGAACUGCCUUUGAUACUGGAAGUCUUGAGUAUGGUAGAGGUGAGUGGAAUUCCGAGUGUAGAGGUGAAAUUCGUAGAUAUUCGGAGGAACACCAGUGGCGAAGGCGGCUCACUGGACCAUUACUGACGCUGAGGUGCGAAAGCGUGGGGAGCAAACAGG
This 404-nucleotide ribosomal RNA is filed under the name Pseudomonas sp. RNAcentral describes it as "partial 16S ribosomal RNA". It matches the Rfam family "Bacterial small subunit ribosomal RNA", at positions 355 to 776 of the family's 1533-position model. The record is from RNAcentral. Lineage: Bacteria; Pseudomonadati; Pseudomonadota; Gammaproteobacteria; Pseudomonadales; Pseudomonadaceae. RNAcentral also lists the same sequence under 2 other names.